UGAGCAACCUGCCCUUAACUCUGGGAUAAGCCUGGGAAACUGGGUCUAAUACCGGAUAUGACUCCUCAUCGCAUGGUGGGGGGUGGAAAGCUUUAUUGUGGUUUUGGAUGGACUCGCGGCCUAUCAGCUUGUUGGUGAGGUAAUGGCUCACCAAGGCGACGACGGGUAGCCGGCCUGAGAGGGCGACCGGCCACACUGGGACUGAGACACGGCCCAGACUCCUACGGGAGGCAG
This 234-nucleotide ribosomal RNA is filed under the name uncultured bacterium. RNAcentral's name for it is "partial 16S ribosomal RNA". It matches the Rfam family "Bacterial small subunit ribosomal RNA", at positions 118 to 351 of the family's 1533-position model. The record is from RNAcentral.